ACUCUACAAGUUCGACAUGAUGAUUAGAAAAUAUUGAAUAAUAUUAAAUAAUAAAAUAAAAUUAAAAACCUUGUUUAUCUCUCUAGAUGCAGUAGUUCAAUAAUUACAUGUCAAGUAUACCUUCCUUCGUAUUUAAAAAGCAUAUAAUUGAGAAAAAUUGGGUGCAAUCUACGAAAUUCAACGUUUGAAGGAUCCUAAAGGUAAAAUCCACGAACUUUAGGGUGUAAAAAGAACAAAAUGCUAUUAUUGACGGUAACAGGUGCCUUUGCAUGGGCUUAGAGGUCACACACAAUGGAGAGGUGGGUAAGUAUUUUUUUGGUAAUAAUUUCACCUCCAUGUGAGUAUUAAUUUCAGUCAAACUACACUUACAUAAAAUAAAUGUACAGAAUCGAUACAGAAUACACCCAUAUAGAAAUGAGUGAUUAUUUUUCGUAAUCUUUUAAUUUACAGGGUCCGUCCCCAUGUAGUGUCUGUAAGCCUUCUGCAUUUUAUUUUUUGUACAAUCGGCAUUUUUCUAUUAAUUUUCGCGUAAAACAUUACUCUGUACGCACUGAUUAAUUGAAAAGCAAAUCGAGAGGCCUACUAUAAUAUUCAAUCUGUACAACGAAUCCCGUUGACUUGCUGGGAUUAAUUGUGAGAUAACUGCAGAAUCUACUACCCUCUUCUCUGUAAUCUAAGAUUAUUUGCAAUUGUAUAUGUUUUUUUCUUGGAUCAAAACCAGCUCAGGAACAGGGAGGAAGUUACCAUUUUUGUUCUGCAAUCUGUAAGUUACCAUAUGAUUCUUGAUGUAUUUAUGCAUUAUUAGAUACGUACACACACAAUAAUUCACUCUUGUGAUAAUCAUUUCAGAUUUAAUAGUUGUUUUGUAAAAUAAAAUGCCAGCUAUUAGGGUUUGUAUUCUUGAUUUGCCAGCCAUUCAUUUCAUUCAUAUCUGUAGAUCCAACUGAACCAUAUUGACUAUUGGGAUUGGUCAAUCAUUCUCAAAUUUUUUAGCGUUGGCCUUAUUCUGCAAAUCGUUUUUGCUAAUUCAGAUUAAUUUUUUUCGUUCUCAAUAAGGGAGCCAAGAAAAUGCCUCUAGGGGAGCUCUUUCUUUCACCAUUCAUUGAAGUACUGUUUAUGCAAUUAACUUCACGUCCGGUGUUGGCCUUCACCCACUGGGAGAGAAUUGAAACCCACCGCAGGAAAUGGAAUAAAAAUCUGUCUAUUAUUGAGGAUGUGCUCGAUGAUGCUGAAGACAAGCAAUUGAUUGACCAAGCUGUAAAAGUAUGGCUGGAGGGCCUCAGGGACUUGUUUUAUGACUUGGAAGAUAUAUUGGAUGAGAUUACCACUCAAGCCCUGAUUCUAAAAUUGGAAGGAGUUCAGGAAAGAACAAGCCUGUUAUGGAAAUUCAUCCCCACAUGCACCAGUUUAUUGCCUGGUUCGAUUGCAUCCGAUUAUGGGAUGAUGUCCAAGAUAAAAGAAAUCUCAAACAGAUUUGAUGAUAUAGUGAAGCAAAGGACUGGUUUGAAGUUGAUAAAGAAUUUGGGGGGGCAUUCUAACCUAUGGACGGCAACAAGAUUGCCUAGCACUUCCUUAGACGAGCCCGAAAUUUAUGGAAGAGACAAGGAUAAAGAAGCUGUAAGUAAAUUGCUGAUUGGCGAAGGGGUGUGUCAUGAUGAUGUUUGCUACAUUCCCAUCGUUGGGAUGGGUGGGAUUGGCAAAACGACUCUUGCCCGACUCGUCUAUAACGAUAGAGAAGUUAAAGCAAGCUUUCAUGUGAGGACUUGGGUUUCUGUAUCUGGAGAAUUUGAUGUGUUUACUAUAACCAACAAAAUUUACAGGUCAGUGACGGAUGAUUAUGGCAAAUUUGAGGACUUGAAUAUGCUUCAAGUCAGUCUGCAGCAGAAGUUGUCGAAGAGCAAGUUCCUUAUUGUUCUCGAUGAUGUUUGGAAUGAGGACUAUGAAAAGUGGAACGUCCUAUGCCGUCCUUUCCACAUGGGGCAACCUGGAAGCCGAGUUAUCAUUACAACUCGUCUUGAUCAUGUUGCAUCAAAGGUGGGGUCUGUUCCAGCUUACCAUAUGAAUUUGUUGACUGAUGGUGAUUGCUUAUCUCUUUUAGCUCAUCAUUCUAGAAGAUCAAUCUGUGAUGAUCCAGAUUUAAGAGAAAUUGGUAUGGCAAUAGCGAAGAAGUGUGAAGGCUUGCCUAUAGCAGCAAAGGCACUUGGUGGCCUCCUACGUUCUAAGGAAAGAAAGGAAGAGUGGGUAGAUGUGUUGAAGAGCAAGUUAUGGGAUUUACCAGAACAAAAUAACAUUCUUCCUGUUUUGAGAUUAAGCUAUCAUCAUCUGCCUUCACAUUUGAAGCAUUUGUUUGCUUAUUGCUCCAUAUUUCCUAAGGGCUAUGAGUUUGACAAGAAUGAGCUGGUAUUAUUGUGGAUUGGAGAAGGUUUUCUGCAACGGGCAAGAGGGCACAAAAUGAUGGAAGAGUUAGGCAUUGAGUGUUUUAAUGAACUAUUUUCAAGAUCCUUUUUCCAACGACUAAGUUGCACUGAUUCACAUUUUGUGAUGCCUGGCUUUAUGAAUGACUUGUCUCAACUUGUUGCUGGAGGAAUGUGCUAUAGGCUAGAUGAGAAAGUAGAUACUAAUCAGGAGAAUAGAAUACCAGAAAAAACUCGUCAUGCUUCAUUCCUUCGUCAUGAAUUUGAAGUUUUCACAAAAUUCAGGGCAGUCAAACGAGUUCAAGGUUUGAGAACUUUCGUACCGAUGCCUGUCCAAAAUUCUCGCGUUUGGCCUCCUUUCUACUUAUCAAACAAGAUCUUACUUGAAUUGCUUCCUGAGUUGCAUCGCUUAAGAGUGCUAUCCCUGAGCGGCUAUUCCAUCACUGAGCUUCCAAGCAUCAUCUGCAAGUUGAUACAUUUACGGUACCUCAAUUUAUCCGGUACCUCUAUUGUUUCAUUGCCCGACUCUAUAGGUGAUCUCUACAACUUGCACACUUUAUCUUUAAGUAAUUGUCGCUUUAUCCGUCGGUUGCCCCCGGAAGUAGGAAAUUUAUCCUACCUACGCCAUCUUGACAUCUCUAACACAGAUCAACUGAGGGAAUUGCCGGUUGAAAUCGGUAAUUUGAAAAGCCUGAGGACGCUACCAAAACUUGUUGUCAGCAAAAUUGGUGGCUUGGGACUGAGGGAAUUGAGGAAUCUUGAGCAUUUGCAGGGGACCCUUGCUAUUUCAGAAUUGCAAAAUGUGACGGACAUCGAGGAUGCAAAGGAGGCAUGUUUAAGGCAUAAGCAAGAACUUGAUGAAUUACAACUGGCAUGGGGGAAAGAUAUUGACGUUUCUAUCGAUAGGAGUUUCGAAAAAGAAGUGCUAGACAUGCUACAGCCUCAUGAAAGCUUGAAAAAUCUCAAGAUUGAAUUCUAUAGAGGUAAAAACUUCCCAAGGUGGGUAGGGGAUAUAUUAUUUUGCAAAUUAUUGAGCAUAAGCCUUGGCAGCUGUAGUGAAUGUACAUCUUUACCCCCAUUUGGGCAACUGCCAAUGCUCAAGCACCUGCGCAUAGAAGGCAUGCGUAAAGUCAAACACAUUGGUGUUGAGUUUUGCGGUGCUGUGGCUGUCCCAUUUCAACGACUCGAGAGUCUAAGAUUUUACGACAUGCCAGAAUGGGAAACAUGGUCCCGUUCUGCCAAUGGUGAGGAAUCCGAGAACCAGUUCCCUCAUCUUACUCAGCUUACAAUAUUCAAAUGCCCCGAGUUAACUAAUGUUUCUCCAUUGAAGCUUCCCAUUCUUCGUGAGUUGGAUCUUCAGGAAUGCAAUAAUGUAGUGUUACGAAGUUUCAGUAAUCUUAACAAGUUAACCUGCUUGAAAGUUGAGUCUGUUACAGGGCUGUCUCAUCUACCGGGGGAACUUUUGCACUCCACUGAAUCGCUUGAAGUUUUGGAGUGUUGUAAUUGCAGGGAAAUGCUUUCACUGUGGAAAAGGGGAGAUACAGUAGAACAUCUUGUCCGUCUAAGACGCCUCAUCGUUGCUGACUGUUUGGAACUUGUAUCCCUUUGUGAAGAGGAGCAACAGAUGCCAUGCAAUCUUGAAGUUUUGGAGAUAUUUAGCUGUGCAAGUCUAAUGUCCAUUCCUAAUAUGAGCAACCUCAGAAUCUUGAGAGAGUUUAUCAUCAAGAAUUGCCAAAGACUUGUCAGCUUUCCAGAAAAUGGCGUCCCUCCCAAGCUUCGACGCCUUGAGAUAUUUGGUUGCAAUGCCUUUGAAUCCCUGCCCAGUAGCUUCUCAAACCUUGAAAGGCUUGAGAUUAAGGAAUGCUCGUCUCUGAGGACAUGUUUCGAUGGUAACUUCCCUAUCACCCUUCAGAAACUUUCAAUCAAAACAUGCAAUCAACUUUCAGAGGUGAUGCUUCCACCGAACGGUGAAAUUUCACUGGAAGAGCUUACUAUAUCCAAGUGGCUGAAUUCCGGCUCUAUACUUCAGCAUGUCAACAGCUUUUCACAAGUUUUUAAACUGUAUCUAUAUUGUAAUGGUCUAGACAACUUCCCGGAUCAAGGGUUGCCACCAAACUUGAGAACGCUUUCCAUUGAGCAUUGUUCAAAUCUCAAGUCCUUGCCAAUGCAGAUUCGAAACCUCACAUCCCUCGUAUCACUUGAGAUACGUACUUGUCGCAAGCUUCAGAACUUUCCAAGAUGUGAUUUUCCCCCAAAUUUAUCUUCACUAAGUAUCUGGGAUUCUAGGAAACUCAAGCCUCUAGUAUGGUGGGGUCUACACAGACUAACCUCUCUUCGAGAAUUUUCUAUCUGUGGCGGAUUUCAAGAACUGGAGUUUCUUGGUGAUGACGACGGUCUCUUUCCUCAUUCUCUAAAAAAGUUUUCUAUUGCAAGAUUUCCAAAACUUACUUCGCUCUCUAAGGUUCUUGAAAAUCUCUCUCUGCAACACCUAUCGAUCAUGAAUUGUGCCAGCCUUAAUGAUUUGCCCAGUGAAAACCUGCUUGAAAAGCUUUGGCAUCUAGAAAUAAGCAACUGUCCUCCUCUAAAACAACGGUGUCUCAAAGAUGAAGGGGAUUAUUGGAACAAGAUAGCUGGAAUUCCUUGUGUGGAGUUAGAUGGCACUUACAUUUACAGACAGAGUUCGGGUUAAGUUGCAGAAACUUUUCCUCGUUUCAGGGCACCAGAGACCAUAUCUUUAUGUAAUCAGGUAAAAAAAUUUCCAACAAUGAUUUUUUCAUUAUAAUCCAUUGAAAACCUGUCGUUGACAUGAUUCAAGCAGAAUUAACAAGCAUAUUGCCCAAAAAAUGAAGAACUUAAGUCCUGCUGUCCCUUUUAAUUUACCUUCUGUUUAUGUGCAGUUAACCAGCAUUGUCUACAACUUUUUAUUUAUGGUAGACAAGUUCCCUGGACAAUACAAAAAGAAAACAUCAAUUUCGAUCAAGGGUGAUUGAACUUUCAAGCUGGUGACACACAACUCUUUUGAUUGUAAGCAUUAUCUUGUCACUGAUGCUAGCUCUCAACACACUACCACAUCAAGAAGUAUGAAAGACUGUAGAAAGUUUUGAGUUUCUAAAAUGUAUUGAUGGUGAUUUCCUAUAUUUGCAGAGUACUUUCAAAUUUUUAUUCUGUACUUUCAAAGAAGUGCUCAUCCAAUUGUUGUACGGUAAAAGUGGUCACUGCGGGUUGUGGAACAAAUUUUCUCCAUGAAUUGCAAUGUGUGGUAAGUUGAAUUUGCUGAGCUAAUUGAAGAGAUUUCCUAAUGACUACAAUCUGUUCCAAGAUUGCAAAAAAUGUAGCCUUAAUGUCAAGAACCUGCCCUUCAGUUUCUUCUAUUAGGAGAAAAGAGGCCCCCGUUUUUACUUCUACAUAUUGAAGUUUGAUUUCAGGCUUAGAUAACACUUUAUCUUUAGCUCUGUGACAUGUUUGGCCCGGCUUACUAAACUGUUUUGUUUUUGUUUUUUUAUUUUUCGCAGCACGCAUGCAUUACUGCCCAAAUAAGAACAUAAAAAAUGUACUAAGCAGGGCCUAGACGUGUUGUGAUCGACCUAUCAAUGAACUAAUUAAAAGUUCACAUGAAGUGUGUUAGUUCAAAGGAGAAUGCUCCGUUGCCAAAUUGCAAGAAAAGAACUUUUAUCUUAAAGCAGCCUCAGGAUACAAUGAAUUAGACGAAAACAAAUAGAAAGAUGGAGGUUUUCAAGCUCAACUCCUUUAACAAAUACUUAUCAACACUUCUGCCUUCAUCGUUGACAUAGAUAUGGUUAAAACGAGUAAGAACACAAGAAAAUAAAAAUGAAUCUUUACGAAAGUUCUGCGUUUUUAUUCACGUGGCUUCUGGAUUCCAGUCCAGCGUGCAUAAUCCACCCACCUGCAAAAGAUAGAAAGUAUAAUCUACGUGGCUUCUGGAUUCCAGUCCAGCGUGCAUAAUCCACCCACCUGCAAAAGAUAGAAAGUAUAAUCUGAGAAGAAAACUAAAAGCCAAAAAAAUUUUGAGAAAAAGAAAAUCUAAACAAUUAAUGAGUUAAAGCACAAAUUGACAAAAUGACAUGUUUAUAUGAAACAGGAAACGAGAAAUGGAAAACUUCCAUCAAUGAACCCAGAAAAGUAUUGCCAGUGCGAACAGCAAAACAGAUUGCACUAAGUAUGAGCUAAUUAUUGUGUAGCAAGGGUUCUAAAAUUCGUUGUUCAAUAACUCCAGCAAGGAUUUGGUACCUAUUGAAAGGAAAUCAGAUAAAUAAACAUGUAAUGAAUUGCAGCAGCAUAGAAUAUGGCCGUAAUAUAGAUAUAUUUUCCCGAAUGUUCUCUUCAUGAUACAGAAUGUCAAAAGGGUACCUAAGGUUGCUCGAAACAGCCAUGUAGACACCAUAUGCAACGCUGGUUGAUAAUACUGGUACAUCCUCGGCUUCACCAGCAAAAGACUUGUCAAUAGCCUUUCGUGCGUUAAUUAACAGAUUGGUUACACCUGUGCCUACCUGCACAUAAAAUGAUGCGAGGAAAAAAAUCCUUAGAGAUGCCACAAAAUCAAGAAACUGUCAGGAAAUAAGCUCAAGUUAUAACAUGAUAAUGUUGGUUAAUGCAAGAAGAGACCAAUGCAUUUACUUGUCCUUGAAGAGGAAGUUGCAAUUGCUUUUAUUACUAUUACUCCAGAAGUAUCUUAUUUCAAAACCAUGAGUUAGCUAUUAUAGCAAAUAAUACAUACCUUAAAUGAAUUAAUGUGACAACCUGGGAUGAAUGUAUGUUGAUUCAUAUCUUUAUCAAGCUAUUUCAGGGAAAUUAAAGAGGGUGUGGAAGGAAAUAAUGCAAAGAAAUAAUUUCCUAAAGUUGGGAUUAUUGAAUGAAUACAUUGUGUAAAAGAUCAAACUGUCAGAUAAGAAGAUAUGAAAUGAAUUUUCAUAUUCGUAUCAUCGUUUCACGACACGCUGUAAUGUGCAAGCCAGAUUCAUUACUUCUAUCAAUAGCUUCUCCACUGAGGUCCCAAGAGCCAAUUUCACUUGCCCUUUUAUAUUUUGAGUUGCUUUCCCCCAUGAAAAUUAAAAUCUCUAAUAAUGACGCUAUUAUUUUGUUUAGAGAUUGUCUGAAACAUCUUAUCAAUGCCUUCAAUACGGUUGUUUUGUUGGCUUUUCAAAUCAUAUUUUUGGAUUAUUGUGCUAAUAAUACUAAUUGAUAUUUUUUGUAAAUAAGAUUGACUGAAUUGUGAAGGGAAAAGGAAAGACGUGUUCUUGUCAGUUAAAGAUCUCUAAGUUAACUUUUCAAUUGGUACUUCAAAGAGGCACAACUGUCUUUUAUAAUGCGGGCUCAACAAACCAUUCUUCCAAAUCCCAUCAAUGCGGGACCUCGGUAAAAAGGAUUGACUCCUUUUUGGAGAUUGUCAAAUGAAUUGUAUAUGUUUCAAGUAUACGAAAAAAACACUUGAGCAGCUAAUUUGGUGUAAAAGACAUGUAAAAAGGGCAGUGUACGAGCAUAGUUCAGAGGUGUAAAGGAUAGAAGUGAGGUUAUCUCACGCCUUGUUGGCAGCCAUAGUGUGGAGAUUCGAUUUCUGUGAUAUGAAAUUGAACUCCUUGUAAGCGCAGUGUACAUGUAACUCUUAUUCUCUGACCUGAUGUGGCACAUCUUGCGAUUUACCUCUCUCACAAAGUUCUAGGAGCGAAGCCGUGGGAACCCUCAAGGUUGGGGUUCAACCUUUUUUAAGAAAUAAGGGAUUCUUAAAAAAAAAAGCAUUUUUUUAGUGUAAAAGAAAUAAAGUUGACAUAUUUGUGGUCUGUUUUAGCCCCAUUUCUUUUUGGAAAUAAUGCUUUAUGGAAUAGUUUUUAUUUUUUAUGUAGAAUGUGAUUAAGAAAUAUAAAAAAAAUUUGGGUUUGCCUGUAAUAUUAUUUUUUUGAAAAAUGUGUGAUUGAAAAUGAGAGACAGAAAAAUAUAUUUUUAUCAUUGAGAUAUAAUGAGGUACGUGGAAGAUCCAUUAUGGUAUAGCUGUCAGUCAAUUAAGCACAUUUUAUCACCGAGAUAUGAUAAGUGCAAAAGUGUUGAGAUUUGAAAUCAAAAUUAAAGACCAGUGCUCCAUUUAAAACUAAAUUAAAUUUUAAUGACUAAAUUAAGACAUAUUGAAGUUCAGUAUCCCAAUUGAAUUUUCGGUAAAUAUUUAGUUAUCACAUAUGAAAUUUACCCAAAAUUUUUAUGGCCAUUGAGCUUUAGAUUAUUAUUUAAACAAAACUUUGUUCUUUGAUUUUAAAAUCUUGUCUAAUAUGUCUCAUAAUCAACGUAGUUUCACAGUAAUUAUAAUUAGUUCAACAAAAAAAAAAAAAAGAUUUAAAUUGAGUUUAAAUGUGUGAAUACUGAAUAUGGUUGUUUCGCGCGGGUAGUCGCUAACAAUUAAAAAAGGGAUCAGACGAUUGUGUUAGGAAGAGACCUCUUGAGACAAAGUCCCAAAAAUGAGUGUUUUAUUGGCGAUAAUUUACAAUUGGAAAUAAACAGAAUGUCUCCAAGGGGCGUAAACACACGAGUACUAAAAGAAGUGUUUAAAUUUAAGCUAAAAAAUUAAAAUUACAUAUUCUCUGCUUGAGAGUGUUUGAUUCGAGCCUUUUUCUUUAUGUCUUCUCUUCCUUUUUAUAUUCCCUUGAUGAUUUCCUGGUGACAAACCGCUUGGAAACUAUUUGAUUGCUUUAUAACUACCCACUUUUUUCUGGUGGCUAACUUGUCGUGGAACUGCCGUCUCUAACUACUGCCAUUACUCUUUGUCGUUCAACCGCCUUCAACUGGGCCCCUUGAAUCGUGGAAUGUGAUAAGAUUACUCAAUAACUGCUGUUCUGGAUAACCAUAAUAUUUUAUGUUUGCUAAGAUCUUGGGCGAUUCGAAGGUUUGGGCGAGAACGGGGUCAUCGCUCUGGGCGAUCGAAAGACAUUCCAUUCGCUCAGAUUCUAGGCGUCUUGCAAGCUUGGGUAAUGAUGUUACUGUGUUCGUGGGCUUCCACCAUUCAUCACUAAUCCUGUUUGGACCUUUAUCCUGGACUCCCCAAUUGGGCUUCACUCUUUGGGCUAUUUGAUUUGGGCUGCACUUUUAAUGUGUCAACAAUUACCCUAAUAUGGCAGAAUUAAUACCAAUUAUUAAUCUUUGCCAUAUUCACUUUGUAUUUUCCAGCAACAUUUGAAAUUCCCAAGAAUUUCAAUCAUUAUUUCCUUCUAUAACCUGAAAAGGUGCAACGUUACAAACCCUUAUAAGCCCAAAAGACACGCCAUUUCAUCGCACCACUAAACCACGUCUCUAUAUUUCGCGCUUCCUCCUCACUAUUUUAUUGUUCAUCUUCUUGCUUUUCUGCUACGUUUUUCAGGCAAAUCUUAACAAAACUGUACUUUGCACCCAAUGACGACUUCACAAAAUCAAUCUGAUGAUUCUUUUAGUUUCGAAGAUUUUCAGAAAAUCCUUACUAGGCCGUAUGUAAAUCCAAACUUCCUUGCACAAGCUAAUGCUGACCUUAAUGAAUUCUAUCUGGGUCCAUCGUUCAAUAAUGUCGAAGUCGUUGGACAAGUGGCGGUGGACCAUCUGUUCCCUUGCACUCAAGACCCUCCAUUCCUGAACUCUCUGCCAUUGAGGCCGAUUUGCGAAAAAUGUAUUCGCACUUGGCCCAAAGCUGAUGCUAUUUUUCGUAGAUGGCAUGCACGUCUUGUGAAUCAUAGCCCUACCAAGGCGAUUUUUAAUCAUGCUAGGAUUUCAGACUUAUUAGAAAUCGCUCUUCAACCCCCAAUUUUCGACCCAGUGUUUUUUCCGGUUGCUUUGAGUUUUUGGUCUUCUAAAUAUAAUACCUUCGUUUUCCUUCUUGGUCCCAUAUCUAUUACUUUAAGGAACGUUGGAGCCCUAGUAAAUCUUCCGCCUUUGGGCGAUACCAUCUUUCCUGGUAUCUUGAUUUCCAGUGUUGGCUCGAAAUUUGACAAGAAACUUACUGAGUCCUACUCAAGCAUGUAAGGCUUUUAUAAUCAUUCAAGCGCUGAACCUUCCCAUACUGAGCGUGUGGCCUUUCUUCAAAUUUGGCUCUGUAAAUAUGUUCUUUGUGUGUCAAGUAUGAAAUUUUCUAUGAGCUACUUACCCAUAGCGCAUGGUAGGCCUUUGAACUUAUGUUCCUUCUUUUUACCUGUCAUUUAUAGAGGCAUGGCUUCCCUUCAAUCUCAACUGAAGAAUGGUGCAUCUUCCACUGGCAGUGGGUCCCUUUGGUUUACUUAACUGUGGUUGAGAGCAUACUUUCCACCACUUGGUGCUCCAUCAAUUUCCCUUCAUUCUGCUAGCUACUAUGGGCUAGCCAUUGACCCAUUGAACCCUGUAAAUAUGUCCAGUAAGGACAUUUUUUCAUUCUUUUAUACCUUAAAUUCGAUUCCUUCCUUCUUUCCUUUUCCUGCUCACUUGACUCCAGAUUAAGUGCAACCUCCAUCCACCCUGGACAGUGUAAGUGUCUCUCUGCUUGUUUGGGUUCAGUUUUUGAUUGGGAGGGAAUUGUUCCACGAUAUUUUAACUGGAACCAAUGCCAAGGCUGGGGUUGAAAUAUAUGCUCCCUAAUUUUUUGCUCGCCUUGGCCAAACUUGGCCUGUUCCUCCUUGCUACUCCAAAAAUUUGACAGAUCGUUUUCACACUAUUAAUAAGGCAGAAGCACAAGCUGUAGAUGCUCGCAACAUUCUUUUGACAAGCAAAUUUUCAUUAGUCCCUUUCAAUUCUAGCUGUGCCGUCCAUCAUCUUUUUGAACAGCUCUGGCUAUCAGUAAAACGCAGAUUGUUUGCAACUGAUGCUAAUCGUACCUUCCAUUUACUGGAUCAGCCAGACACUUCCUCUACUUCUCCUAUUUUGGUCACCCCCGUGUCCAUUAGGAAUCCUUCCUCCCCUGCUCACGCUAAACAUCCUAUCCGUCCAUCUGCUUCUCCACCUGCCAAGGCUACUGCAGCUAAAGGUAUCUUAAUCCGCAAACAGCCAGUUUCAACAUCUCCCAUUUUGCGGGAUGAUAAUGAUGAUGAUAUCGCUCCUCUCAUCCUUAGGAGAAAGAUAAUUGAAUUUGUUUAUUCACAAACAUACUUUUCUAUGUACUAAUGGUUUACCUGAAUUUCUCAGAAAAGUUCAGCCUCUCCUUCAAAGGCUUUGGUUUUGACAACUCCUGCUUCAUCAUCUUCUGCUGAACUGUUUCGUCCAAAUCAGCUGAUGAAAGGACUAUGCUUAAAGAGAAACCCUUAGUCCCGGAAUUUUCAUCACAACCAGUAGAAGGGCCACCUUCUUCCCAAGGCGCCGACUCCCCAAAUGUCGAACCAGAAGGUAAUAUAUAUUUUGAUGUUUUACCUUUGCUUGUGCUACUGGUUUCUGAUUCGUUUUUUUUGAAUUAUGCAGAGGCUCCCAUGGGCUUGCCUGUUGUGGCAGAGUCUUCUCGCCCAGAUAAGGGGAAGUCCCCACAGGUGGUGGAGUCAACUGGUGAUAUGCCUGAACUUCCCAAAAUUGCUGAUGAGGUAACCUUUUGCUUCACUUUCAUUUUCGCUUCGUUUAUUGUAGUGAAAGUCCUCAAUGUUGGCAUUUUUCUUUGCAGGGUGCUGAUGACAUUGUGCGUUCCAUCCAAAACUUGUUCACUUCCUGGGGACAAGUCAAGACGUCUCACCCUACUUCAACCAGUCAUCCUUCUGCUUCAUUUUCUACUUUUUCGGAGGAAAAUAUGAAGUCUCUCAAGUAGUCGGUACUUGAGUAUGUGUCUUUUAUGGACAUAGAUAUCGGCCAGGCUAGUGCUACUAAACAUAAGGAUAAGUUUGAGCUAUUGAGUGCGAAAUUGGCGCAAGCACUUACACUUCCGUCGCUCAAUAUUUCUGCUGACUUUAAAGCGACAUUGAAAGUUGUCCACCCUGACAUCCUCUCCUUGCUAGCUAAAAAUGUUGAACUGAAGGCCAGGAGUACUCAAUAUCUUCGUGCUGCAUCUGAAAGAGAGUCUUUGCUUCUAGAGAUUAACAAAGCCGAGGAUGAAUUGAAAGAAAUCUCUUCCGACGUUAUGAUCGAAGACUCUUUGAUGAUAAGCUUGGCUGCAGAGAUGAAGGAGCUUCAAGCAAAGAUGAACGACUGUAGGGCGAGAAUGGCUGCUAAAAAGCGUAAUACUUCCCAAGGAAUUGAACGAACCAAGUCUUUGGUUGAGCAGAAUAAAAAGCUGGAGGUUGAUGACGAUUUUGAAACUGAAUUAAAUGUCGCUUCUUCUCAACAGAGCAAAGAUUGGGGAAGACUUAGGGAAAAAAUACGUUCGGCUUGGGGUGAAUUGUAAUUAAGACAUCCAAUGCCUUAACUUUCCUUUUGUAAUUUGGCACUAAUUGCCAUUGCUAAUUUUGAAUGUAACAGCAGCUAUCGUCAUUAAUGAACGACUAUUUUGUCUAUUUGAGUAUUAAUUGACGUUGUCCUUAAUCGUCAACCCCCCAAGCAUUUAAUUGCUUUACGCUAAGAUUCAUGUACAUUCUUUCUUGGUAUUCCCGUCUCUUUUCCCAAGAUUUUGGGUCACUUGAUUUCAGUUAUUAGGCACGAAUGUGGCCGUUCAUAUUCUAUCUUUUCACCUUCACGGCUCUAUAAAUGCGUGUGUAUUUUGCACUUAUCAUUUUCAUUUCCAUUCUUUUAUUCAAGAACUAAUUUGCUGCCAUCAUUUAGUAUCUCAACAAUUGAUCCAAAAUUUUCGUCUUCCAUAGAAAUGGAUCAUUUGAUCCGCCCUUUUUGCUAUCUAUCUUUAUGUCACCUUUGGUAUGGGAGAUAUAGGAAAUAUUCUUUGGCCAUCAAAGGUCUUCCCAUUGUCUCCAUGUUCUUUAUAAGGAUUUCAAUGAUGGAAGGCGAUUUUUGAGGAUGCCUUUCAAACCACUUCGCUUGCUCAGAGUGCUUCUCAAUCUCUUUACUCGUUAUUGCAGCAAUGCGAUUAGGCAGACGAUUUGAGAGUACUUUUCUUCCUUUUUGCUUGUUGAGAGUGUUUCUCGACCUCUUUGCCUAUCCUUACAGCAGUGGGAUCAGGACGACGAUCAAGGCCGGUUCACCUUCUUACUUGGCGAUCGACCGAGAAAUUAGUUUGCUCUCAAUUGUAGCUCAUAGAGCAUUUAAUAUUUUGUAUCUCACAAUUUGUAAUGAAUAUUUGAUAACAAAGGAAUUUAUUUGAACGUAUUUCGUUCUUACCUUAUUUAUCUACGAUCGUUCAAUGCAAUUAUAUUGAUUACGCUUUUAUUUGUUCACUUUCCCAUAAGGAAGGAACAUACUUUUUUAAAUAUUUGUCAUUAAUGAACCUAUGUGCUUGGUGCCAUCUAAAUCUUCUAAAUGAUAGGCUCCAUUAGGCAACACACUAUUUACUUUAUAUGGCCCUUCCCAAUUGGGUGAUCACUUGCCAUACUUUGGAUCCUUGCUAUCCAAAGGGAGUAUUAUUUUCCAAACCAAUUCGCACAGGCUAAAUGACUUGACAAUAACUUUUUUGUUAUAAAACUUAGUCAUCCUUUGUUUUUGAACUUGCAAUCUAUCUAGGACGUCCAACUUUAAUUCGUCCAACUCCAGUAAAUUUUGAAUUAGUGAUUCGGUAUACUCACCAUCACUUAACUUCUGUUGCAAACACACUCUGAUUGAUUGCACAUUGAUUUUCAUAGGCAAAACGGCUUCCUGUCCAUAAGUAAGUUGAAAAGGAGUAACUUUGGUACUUGAUCGAGGCGACGUCCUAUAAGCCCAUAAAGCAUUGUUUAGACAUUCGUGCCAAUUUUUGACAUUUUCAUCUAUCAUUUUCCUUAUGAUAUUUUUUAGAAUCUUAUUAGAAGAUUAUGUUUGUCCGUUGGAUUGAGCGUAAUAUGGUGUGGAGUUCACUAACUUAACUCCAAACUCGCUCAAGAAUUUUUUCACUUGAUCUCCAUUCAAAGAAGUUCCGUGAUCUACCAUCAAAGUUUGUAGAAUCCCAAAUCUAUAAAUAAUAUGAUCACGGAUAAAUUUUAUGACACUCUUUUGGGUGAUCUCCUUUAAAGGUAUUGCUUCUACCAAUUUAGUGAAAAAAUCAGUUGCAACUAUAACAAAGGUUUGUUGCUUGGACGACGUGGGAUAAAUCUUCCCUAUUAGGUCUAUCACCCAACCCUUGAACGGCCAGGGUUUGCUAAUGGGUGACAUCUCUCUUGCUGGCGCCCUUUGUAUUGGACCAUACUUUUGGCACGCUAGACAACUCUUCGCAUAUUGAACACAUGAUUCUCCCAUCUUGGGUCAAAAAUAUCCAUUCCUAAUAAUUAACCAUCUCAUCUUUUGGCCAACUUGAUGAGCUCCACAUAUCCCUUCAUGCACUUCAGCCAUGAUUGUUCUGGCUUCUUGCAAACUUACACAUUUUAGUAAUAUACCAUCAGAGCGUUCUUAAACAACUCUUCAUCUAUCAAUGUAUAGUUUAGUAAAUGCAACUUCAUUUUUCUACUACCUCCUUUAUUAGGUUCUUUAAGGAACCUUUUAAUCUCUGCCCUCCAAUCUAUUGCAUCUCCAUCUUGUAUGCAAUGAAUUUCAAUCCUUCUCGCCCUUCUUUAGACUACGGACAAUAUUACUCUAUAUUCAUAAGUAAAUUUCCAAUUUAAAGCCUUUGAAUACCCUGAGGCCAUCUGGGUUAACUCAUUUGCUAUGUCAUUUUAUAUCCUAUUAACACAUUGAAGCUCUACUUGGUCGAAUUCUUCCAACAAUUCUUGGGCGAUUUCAUAUUGACUUAUAAUGGAAUCACUUUGGCACUUAAAAUCACCGAUCAAUUGGUGAAUUACCAAGUGAGAAUUGCCUCUAACAAUCACAUUCUUUUUUCCAUAUCUAUCAUUAAUUCUAAGCCCACGAUUAAGGCUUCAUAUUCGGAUUGAUUGUUGGUGCACAUCCUAUCCAAAGUGAAUGCGAACUUGUAACAAAUUCCUAAAGGAUUUAUCAAUGCUACUCCUACUCCUGCACCUUUAGAGGUUUUUGGCCCAUCGAAAUAUAAAACCCAAGGUUUUAAUUCGAAUGAAUCAAUUUCUAAUUCAAUUUCUUCAGGCAUGUCAAGGCAUGGAUGAUCGGCCAGAAAGUUAGCCAAAGUCUGAUUUUUGAUUGCUUUUUGGGGUAUGUAUUGUAUUUAGAAUUCUGAUAACGCUAAAGUCCAAAGGCCUACCCUUUGAUGUAAAAUAGGGUGAGAGAACAUAUACUUAACCAAAUUUACUUUAGAAAUCAAAUAAACGGUUACGGACCGUAAUUAAGCCCUUAAUUUCGUACAUGUGAAAUACAAUGCAAUACAUAAUUUUUCAAUGGCAGAGUAAUUACAUUCACAUUUUGUUAACCGUCUACUCAAAUAGUAAAUCGCCAUUUUUUCACCAAAUUGGCCUUCUUCCACGACCAUUUCAGCUAUUGAUUCUUGUUCAGCCGAUAUAUACACUUUCAUUGGCCAUCCUUGGAUUGGUGACACCAACACUGGUGGACUUGAUAAAUAUGUCUUUAGGCUUUCAAAAGCCUUUUGAUGCUCUUCUUUCCAGAUGAAUUCGUCCUGAUUUUUCAGUUUUAAAAGCGACGAAAAAACUUUAGUUCGCCUGCACAGUUAGAAAUAAAGCGUCUUAAAAAGUUUACUUGACCUAGAAAUCUUUGCAAUUCUUUUUAUUGAUAGGUGGUUUGGCCUCUAAAAUGGCCUUCGCUUUAUUUUUAUCAAGUUCAAUCCCCCUUUUGUGUACUAAGAAACCAAGGAAGUUUCCUACAUUAACACCAAAUGCACAUUUUAAAGGAUUCAAUUUUAGUUUAUAUUGCUUCAUUCGCUCAAAUGAACAUCUCAAUUGUUCAAAAUGAUCCUCUUCUUUAAUGGAUUUGACCACUAUAUCAUCUAUAUACACCUCAACAAACUUGCCUAUCAUAUCAUGAAAAAUCAAGUUCAGUGCCCUUUGAUAAGUCGCUUUUGCAUUUUUCAAGCCAAAAGGCAUAACUACCCAUUCAAAACAUCUCAGAGAUCCAAGACAUCUAAAGGCAGUUUUUUGUAUAUCUUCCUCAACUAUAUAAAUUUGAUUGUAUCCUGAAUACCCAUCCAUGAAGGAAUAUAUUACGUGUCUGGCAGUCGAGUCUACUAAAGAAUCUACCGCAGGCAUUGGAUAUUCAUCUUUGGGUGUGACUAUGUUUAGGUUCCUAAAAUCUAUGCACACCCUUAAUUUACCAUUCUUUUUUAAUACUGGCACGAUAUUGGACAAUCACUCGACAUAUCUGGCUGUUCUCAUAAAGCCUGCUUUUAAUAAUCGCUCUAUUUCUUUCUUAAUCUCAGGAAGUACAUUAGGAGCAAAGCGCUUAGGAGGUUGCUUAUGAGGUUUAAAAUUUGACUUGGUUGGCAAUCUAUGUUCCACGAAAUCUCUAUCUAAACCAGGCAUAUGUUCAUAUUCCCAAUCAAAACAAUCCUUAUAUUCCUUUAAUAAAGCGAUUAAUUUAUCACUAACCUCUUAAUCGAGCAUCUGACUGACGAAUGUUGGGCGAUCUUCCCUAUCUUUAGCUCUGUGACAUGUUUGGCCCAGCUUACUAAACUGUUUUCUAACGACCCUUUAUAUAUACACACACACAUAUAUAUGUUUGGCCCAGCUUACUAAACUGUUUUCUAACGACCCUUUAUAUAUAUAGCACGCAUGCAUGCAUUACUGCCAAAAUAAGAACUUAAACAAUGUAUUAAGUAGGGCCUAAAGGAGUUGCGAUCGACCUAUCAACGAAACAUUUACAUGAAGUGGGUCAGUUCAGUGUAGAAUGCUCCAUUACCAAAUUGCAAGAAAAGAACUUUUAUCUUAAAGCAGCCACAGGAUACAAUAAAUUAGACGAAAACAAAUAGAAAAAUGGAGGUUUUCAAGCUCAACUCCUUUAACAAAUACUUAUCAACACUUCUGCCUUCAUCGUUGACAUAGAUAUUGUAAAAAUGACUAAGAACACAAGAAAAUAAAAAUGAAUCUUUACGAAAGUUCUGUGUUUUUAUUCACGUGGCUUCUGGAUUCCAGUCCAGCGUGCAUAAUCCACCCACCUGCAAAAGAUAAAAGUAUAAUCUGAGAAGAAAACUAAAAGCCAAAAAAUUUUUGAGAAAAAGAAAAUCUAAACAAUUAAUGAGUUAAAGCACAAAUUGACAAAAUGUCACAUGUUCAUAUGAAACAGAAAACGAGAAAUGAAAAACUUACAUCAAUGAACCCAGAAAAGUAUUGCCAGUGCGAACAACAAAACAGAUUGCGCUAAGUAUGAGCUUAUGAUUGUGUAGCAAGGGUUCUAAAAUUCGUUGUUCAAUAACUCCAGCAAGGAUUUGGUACCUAUUGAAAGGAAAUCAGAUAAAUAAACAUGUAAUGAAUUGCAGGAGCAUAGAAUAUGGCCGUAAUAUAGAUAUAUUUUCCCGAAUUUUCUCUUCAUGAUACAGAAUGUCAAAAGGGUACCUAAGGUUGCUCGAAACAGCCAUGUAGACACCGUAUGCAACGCUGGUUGAUAAUACUGGUACAUCCUCGGCUUCACCAGCAAAAGACUUAUCAAUAGCCUUCCGUGCAUUGAUUAAAAGAUUGGUUACACCUGUGCCAACCUGCAUAUAAAAUGAUGCGAGGAAAAAAAUCCUUACAGAUGCCACAAAAUCAAGAAACUGUCAGGAAAUAAGCCCAAGUUAUAACAUGAUAUUGGUGGUUAAUGCAAGAAUAGAUCAAUGCACUUACUUGUCCUUGAAGAGGAAGUUGCAAUUGCUUUUAUUACCAUUACUCCAUAUAACAGAAGUAUCUUACUUCAAAACCAUGGGUUAGCUAUUAUAGCAUAUAAUGCAUACCUUAAAUGAAUUAAUGUGACAACCUGGGAUGAAUAUAUGUUGAUUCAUAUCUUUAACAAGCUAUUUCAGGGAAAUUAAAGAGGGCAUGGGAGGAAAUAAUGCAAAGAAAUAAUUUCCUAAAGUUGGGAUUAUUGAAUGAAUACAUUGUGUAAAAGAUCAAACUGUUAGAUAAGAAGAUAUGAAAUGAAUUUUCAUAUUCUAAUCAUCAUUUCACGACACACGGUAAUGUGCUAGCCAGAUUCAUCAAUAGCUUCUCCAAUGAGGUCCCAAGAGCCAAUUUCACCUGCUCUUUUAUAUCUUAAGUGACUAAUUCGAUGUAAAAGAAAUAAGGGAUUCUUUAAAAUAAAAAAUAAAUAAAAAUAAAAAUAAAAAAGAAGAAGAACACUUGAGCAGCUAAUUGGGUGUAAAAGAAAAAAGGGAUUCUUGAUAAAGUAAAAAGGAUUGACUCCUUUUUGGAGAUCAUCAAAUGAAUUGUGUAUGUUUGAAGUAUACAGAAAAAACACCUAAGCAGCUAAUUUGGUGUAAAAGAAAUAAGGGAUUCUUGAAAAAGUAAUUUCCCCAUAAUGGUUUUCUAAUUAUACAGAUUAUAUGCAGACCCUCUUGAUAGCAAUGCCUAUUUUUUAGGUGACCCCUUUUUGCACAAUGAAGUCGUAGAUACUCACAGCUUGGACCCCCAUGAAAUGCAUAAACCAUAGUUUCACCCAUCACACUGAUGUUCCCUCACAAAGAUUUAUGGCACUCGAAAGUGAUCAAGAACUUGUAUAUAUUUAAGUGUUGACUUACCAGAGAUGCACUAGUUCCAACUGCAAAUAGCUUGGCCCCAUUUCUCUGCAGGAAGGAUCAGAAUUCUCUUAGAUUUACUGAAUUCAUAAUCUAGAUACCAGGUUUCUAAUUCGUUGUUUUAUUAAUAAGUAGCAUACCACUAUGGCUCCUAUCCUCUGUAAAAAUGAGUAGGAUGUACCAGCCAAUGCAACCUGCAGCAUGCAUAAAAACAAUUUCAUUCAGUAGCCUGUACUAGGUUUUGCUUCCCUUCAAACAUACCUAUACGCAAGCAAACAUAAUGUAACAGUAUAUAUUAAAACAGAACCUGAAAGGCAUUAUCAGGGCAUCCAUAGAAGAACUUAUUGAGAAAUCCAGCACUAGGCGCUAUAGCCGGUCGUAGAGAAACGGUAGGGGCAGGGAGCCAAACAAGCAUGAAAUCUGCAAUAAUGGCCAUUACCUGAAAAAUAGAUUAUUAGUGUUUCCAGGUUUGAAGAACGAAGGACAUUCAGAAUUGACCAAUGAAUCCAGUGAUCUUGUGUUUUAAUUGUAAUUUUAAUUUUUUAAUUUUUUCUGGAUAUUGUACAACUAUUUACAUUUGUGUAUGGAGAAUUUCCUUCAUUUUAGUUGUAAUCAGCAUACUCUUAGGAGAUAAUUGAACCAUAAUUAAUGUAAUUGGAGGAGUUGAUUAUAGAAUGUUAAUUAUGGGAGCAACUAAAGGAGUUGAAUUAUGAGAGUUAAUUAGGUUUCCUUUAUACCUAUAGUGUAACCUUGUAAUGUUUCAUUUCAUGGAAUAAAAUUAUGUUUUUCAACAUGGUAUCAGCAAGUUCUACCUUGCUUUCAUCCUGUCCAGGAUAUUUUCUGAGCGGCUCCUUUCGAUUUGCAUUUUUCAAGAAGAUUUGGGCCAUUUAUAGGUUGAUUCAGAUUUAAAUCAAGGUGGUGUACUUUUUUUGCCGAUUCACAUUGUUUCAGCUAUUUUGCCAGCUGAUCCAACUUUAUUCAAGUUAUUGAGGCUUGCCAUUUACAGCAAGUGAAAUUGCUACAAGCUUAUGUUGUGAUGAUACAAUCAAGUAUUUCUUCCGCACCUUUAAUUGCGGCUUCUCUUCCAAGUUAUCCUUGGAGAAUUGAUUUUGGAGCCACAAACCAUACGAGUAGCCACUCUUAACUUGUACGUCUCUUACACUCCAUGUUCGGGAAGACAAAAGGUGAAAGUGGUCGGAUGGUUUGUUAUUAUCUAUUGCAGGAAAAUGGCGUAUUAUUAUCUCAAAAACUCUUUCUCUUGACUUAAGUUUUACAUGUUCCUACCCUUUCAGUUAGCAAAAAUAGCAAAUAUUUUAAUUGUGUUGCCAAAAUUUGUCCCUCUCGCAUUGAAAGGUCAUGGAUACUGGCAAGGUGAUUGAUGGACUUUAGUAUUUCGAAAGUGAACCGACUGUUUAGAUAAUCUAUCUCAUACACACUUGAGUACUUUAAUUUCUUUUCCAAUCAAGAUGUUGAGCUAUAGGAUAAAAGAUUAGGUCACCCACGUUUCUCAUACUUGAAAAGUUUAUUACAUUGUUUAAAAAUAAAGAUAUCCUUGAUUUUCAAUGCGAGACAUGUGAACUAUCCAAACACCAUCAUAUAAACUUCGCUACAAAAAUAUAUAGGAAAUCACAAAUUUUUACUUUCAUCCAUAGUGAUAUUUGGGACCUUCUCAAGUGGGCUAGAUGGUUUAUCUCAUUUAUUGAUGAUCAUACUCGUGCGUGUUGGAUGUUUCUACUCAAUGAAAAAUUUGAGACAAUGAAAGCAUUUCAAAAUUUUCAUAAGAUGGUUAAGACCCAAUUUCAAGCGAACAUUCAAACCCUUCGUACCGAUAAUGUGAGGCAGUACUAUUCAUCAAUACUAGGUUCAUAUCUAGCAGAAAAUUGCACUUUUACACCGUAGUUCGUGUGGAUACAACUCAACAAAAUGGGAUAGUUAAGGAAAAAAUAGACGUCUCCUUGCGGUAAAUAGAGCUAUAAUGUUUACCAUGAGUGAGCCAAAACAUUUUUGGAGUUAAGCGAUUCUCAUAGCAACUUACCUUACAAAUAGAUUGUCGUCAAGGACCUUAGAUCUAAAAAAUCCACUUGAUCUUCAUAAAACACAUGUCUAUCAUCUAAACUUUUUUGUUCCCUCCCGCCUAAAUCUUUGGUUGUGUCACAUUUCAUAUGCAUGAUCAUGAUAGAGGGAAAUAAGAUCCAAAAGAUUUGGUCUAAUUUUUUUUUUCGAUAUUCUUCUACUUGGAAAGGUUAUAAGUGCUAUCGUCCUCAAACAAGAAAAUCCUUUGUCUAUGAAUGUCUCAUUCUUCAAUAACUCAAUAACACUUUUUUUUUUUUUUUACUAAAACUUCUCAGUGGCAGAGUGAACAUGUUGAAGAUCAGUUUUGGUCUGUUAAGCCUAAUAUUUCUAUCCCUUCUAUAUCUCAACCUCAACCUUUAGUAGUGCCUAAUAUUGACGUUCAGCCUUAUGAGUCUCCUGCAACUCUACAUGUUAUUCCAUCCACUAGUUUUAAUUAUGGAUUUUCUCCUACUGAAAGUUCUCAACCUUCACCUCUUGAGAGUGGUCAACGUCCAUCUCCAAUGACCAUUACUCCGCAACAUCACCGAUCACCCGAACCAAGCAUAAAGAUUCUGGAAGCACGAGUAAUUCUUUAGUCCCUAAUCUUUCCAAAAAUCUUAAUUCUGAUCUUGAUAUUCUGAUUGCUCAUAGGAAAGCUGUUAGAUCUUGUAUACAAUAUAUCCUAUUUCCAAAUCUGUUUCCUACCAUAGGGCAUCUCCUUCCUUUAGCGCUUCCGCUGCUAAUGAAUCUUCUUGCGAUUUUUUUCCAAGCACUAUACAGGAAGCUCUUGCUAUUUUUAGAUGGAAACAAGUUUUUAUAAAGAAAAUGGAGCACCUGAAAACAAUGAUACUUGAGACCUUGUUGAUCAUAACCACAGAAGAGACCGAUAGGGUGUAAAUGGGUGUUUACUGUAAAACACAAGGCAGAUGGACAGUUGAAAGAUAAAAGGCAAGAUUUUCUGUUUUAAUUUCCAAAUCAAAAGGAACGUUCUUUAGUUGCAAUCUUUCAUUGAUAACAACACAUUAUAUAAUUUAUAUUUCUUGCAAGUAAACUGAAACCCAAAAAUAUUGCGAAGGCAAUCGUACCACAUCAGCAAAGACGAAAUCUAGCUCCUUGGUGAACUUUUCUCUGCGCUUUUCCAAUUCUGCAGCAGUCUGGCAUGCAGAUAGGACAUAGCAAACACAUGAAACUUUCAGAAAUUGCUUGAUAGAUAGAAAUUCAAUAAAGACCACCAAAAGAACCGUACAUAUUUUUUUAGUGAGUAACAGCUGCAAAUUUCAGUCAAGAAAAUCUUCCCCUUUUAUUUCAUAUCAAUUUUGGCUGUACUUCGUCACAAACUUACUCGUGAUGAAUUUCUAAUAUUGCAACAAUUCAUAUAAACUCCAUCCAAAUCUCUGCAUCUUUGCUAUUAACAGAAGACCAUCUUCCCAAAUUUGAAUAAACAUUUCAUGGUAAUUUCCCAAUGUAAUAAAAGCCAAUGCUAGCAAACAAUUAUUCAAGAUUUACCAAUAUUUUACCAAAACAUCCAUUUUGAAGGCAUAAUUGAUUAGUCAAGGCCUUUCAAAUUUCAAAUAUGAUCCAAAUCCACAUCAAAUAACCACAUUCUUAAGACAUGUCAUAUUCUGAUUAUUCUUAUUACUACUUUAUUAACUGUCUAAAAAAAAUUCGAAUAUUUGCUAUGGUAAUUAGUAUUUGAAUAGUAAUUCAAGACAAGGCACAAACCUUUGUAAAGAUCCCAACACCACACUCUAUAGCAACUUUAGUCAAGAAAAGAUCAUCUCCAAGUAACCUUUCCUUAAACCCUCCAAACUGGAGCAACCACCGGAACACCGCAGACUUCUCGAGCUCGAUAUACCGCUGUACUAUCGAACCCGGAAUCCUCCCGGCUUCUAUGGAGGCAGCCAAGUCCUUAGGAAUGCUAUCCAAUGAUCUGCCAGCCUCGACCAGGGCCAUGAUUGCCUCUGCCUUGUUUCUUUCCCCUGCAUCUCCCUCAUUAUCACCCCCAGCUCCACCUCCGGCCCCACCUCCUCCACUACCUGAACCGCUUCCACUUCCGCCAUCACCACCAAUUUCUCCACCGUCAGUGUUGCUGGAGAAGGUAAUAAAGGAUAUACGACGAGUGGGUUGUAGGGGGCUGAGUUUAAUUGAAUUGGCAGAGGAGAGCGCGAGACUGGUCGUAUGGGGAGUGGCAAAUGGAUAAGUGAGGGAUGACGGAGAGUGGUGGAGGUGUGAAGUUGGUGAUACGAUGAACUGGGUAGUGAAGUAUGCAAAAGUGGUAGUUGCCGCCAUGAUGAAGGCGGUGCUUUCUCUUAUUCACUCUCCUCAGUCCACGCGAGAGAGAGAGUUGCCGGUGGAUUUUUGAGUGGUGGUGAAGCGAAUGGUAGAGCUGUUCCAUUUGUCAGUUGACUUAAAAAGUAGAAGUGAUGUUUGAUUUGGGAAGUUGAGAAAAGCACAACCUUAUAUUCUAAAUUCUGAAGAUUGCCUUUUGCCGUAAAAAAAAAACAGUUUUACCAAGAAAACAGGAAAUGGUGACAAGGAUUAAAUUCAGAUGCCACGUGUCAACAUUUAGUUGGCCAUUUUUUUUUAAAAAAAAAAACCAAAUGCCCAGUCAGGUGCUCCACGCAACACCCAGAUUUAAACCUAUUUCUAUAAUCUGUCAGAGAAGUUUUAUUCAAUAUAAAAAAAUCUAUAUUGCCAGAUAUCUAGAAAACUAUAAUUCAAUAGUGAAAAUCCCUUUUAAUAAAUAAUAAAAAUUUAAAAUGGGGAACUUAUUCCUUUCCACGCCCUCCAACGACUCUCGGCGAAUCCAUCAAACCUAGAGAGUUUGGCCUCGAGAUGUUACCUGGGAGCCACUAUUUGAUUCGAUUUUUAUCUUAGGUAAAGAGACAUUGCUCUUUACAUAUAUCAAUAACAUUUGAAUUCCUUUUAUUCUUUCACUAUGUUUGUCGCACAUGACUCGAACUCCUUUUUAAAGCAUUGACCUCAUUGUACCACGACUCAAAAUUUGAUGCAAUUUUUGUCAUAGUAACAAGAGAACUUUGUUUCUUCAAUUAUCUAGUCAACUUGAUUCAAUUUUCACUCCAUUUUUGACAGAUUGGAUGAAUAGACUUGUUCGUGCUAAUUAGUUGUGCAAGAAAUGAGAUAUGAUAACGAGUUGAUGUUUCAAAGAAUAGGGCAUUUGUGCGGGAUACCUGAUGAUGUUCUCGUACAUUUUAUGGGGAGUCGUGCUUAGAUUUUGUUUUUCUCAAAUUUGGCUACAAAAGUCUUGUCGGUGCAAUUGAUGAUUAUUCGACUUCUUUGUGAGGCUCAUACUUGUUACUUUUAGUUUAAGGUCUAUGACCUGUGGUGGCCUUGCCACGACCAUGGGACCCCGAGUUGGGAGAAUCUUGCGGUGUUUGAUUUAUUUCUCCAAAAAUAUCUUUCUUUUCUUUUGUUUCCCAAUCAUAAUCUAUUUUUCAGAGAGAGUAACACUUUGGUCAAACUCCAUUUCUGAAAGAUGAAAAUGGGGACAUAAGAUUAUGAAAUGGUGAUAUGGUCAUGAUUAACUUACAAACACUUAAUUUAAAAAGAUGUUAACUUAAGAGUCAAUAAGAUAAGCAGAUAUCUAUGAUCUAAUACGAGAUGUGGAGAAACAAAGCCAUGAAUAUUAGAAUAAACAAGGUAGAGGAUGAGCAACAAUUCAACUACAAUGCAAAAUAAAAGUGUAAUAUAUAUUAAUGUAUUCAUAUGUUAUUACACAAGAUGGAUUAUUGUUUCAAUAUUAUAAUUGUCUUCGUGUUGAACUACCUGUGAUAUAAUAUGAUUAUAAGAUAUUGUCGUACACGUGCAUUGUUGUGUGAUUUAUAUCACAAAUAUAUUAUAUCAUUAACAAAUAAUAAUGUGGUUAUAAGGGUUUGGAUUAUCAUUCUCAUAAGUGCUACUAUUUAAUAAUUGAUUUAACUAUUUCUAACCUCUAUUUGAAUUAAAAUUGUUAUAUUAUAUUAUAUUUUUUAUUUGUAAAAAUAUAAAUAUAAGGAAACAAGUAAAAAAUGCACAUAACUUAUGUAGGAAAAAUGUUAGGAAUUGUAAUUUUGUCAUAGUUAUCCCCUUAAUUUCAAUCAUCAUAUUUCAAUAACAAUUAAUUAUGUAUAUCCGAUUGAAUUUAUCUAAAUUAAUUGAUUUACCUCUCUUGAGUUUAAAUUAAUCAAACUUAUACCAUAUAAUUUUUCUUGAACAAAAUGAUGUAUUGAGAAAAUUGUUGCGAAAAAAAUAAUAAAUAGUAAUAAAAUAAUUGAUUUUUUUUAAAAAAAAUGACUUAUACGCAUUUUUUAACACAUACGUUUAAUGUUCGUUUAACUAUUUUCGUUAUUCAUUUAGAUCAUUCGAUGUGUCUAUGAUAUAGUUCUUGAAAUGAGUUUCAAGAGAAUGUAGAAUAUUUAUCGAUUCGACUAUCGUAUAAUCGUCAAUGAAUUUUUAAAUUUAGCUUAUUAUCGAAAAUUUCGAAAUAUAGUUUGAAAAUGUAUAUUUUGACAUCCCGUAACAUUUGCUACGAUUAGCCGUUUCUUCACGAAGUACCAUUUUCUUGUUGUGCUUGAAACAAAAUAAUACACUGGAGUAAUUUUACCUUGUUCUGACUAUUAUAUUAACAUUUAUAUCACACUUUAUUCUGAUUUAUAUUUCUCAAACCAACUAAUACACAGUUCCCUGCUAAACUCUUGUUUUAAAACAUCAUAUAUAUAUUAUUAUUAUUUUUUAUUUUAACCUUUGAAUUUUUUGUCCAUUUUCUCUCUCACUUUUUUUUUUUUAAUCUAAUUUUCUACGAUGUAAACCACUUUUUAUAACCUAAACAAGGUCUGUUAUGGGGCAUUAUUAUAAAUGACCUGCUACUAUUCAUUUUUGGUAAAAUGUUUAUUAUACCCUUAAUGAAAUAAUUUGUCAUAUAUUGCACAAGAUAUCCUUAAUUUAUUGGAAUAGUUUUAAAUUCCUCUAUUUCUCUCAUUUCGAGUUUUAAUAUAUAAUUUCAUCCUUUGAUCUAAUAAAUUAACAUAAUCUGCAAUAUAAUUGUCAUGUAAUUUACUAAGAUUAUCAAAUUCCUUUGAUAAUAUAUCCAUAAUCUCUAAUUGAGAAUAAAUAUUUUCUAUUUUUUCCAUUAAUCUAUCUAACAGAUUAUCUAAUCCUUUAAUUGUAUAACCUGGCAUUAUUCAAAUAAUUCCUUGCAAACUUUAUGAAUAAUAACAUAUUUAGAUAAGUUUUUUGCAAACAUGAUAAGUAAUAAUCCCUACGAUUCUUUCAAGAUAUUAGAAGAAUUCUUUCUAAAUUUAACAAAGACAAUAAUUUUACCUUACUUUUGAUCUUAAAUCUGUAUUCUUAGAACCGAGUGACCUUCAGGCUCUGAAUCUGCAAACUACUCCCUCAAACGGCCUCUUGCCUCAAUGAGAAUUCUGCUAUUUCAGCUUCUGCCCUCACUGUAUCUUUUCUUAGAAUUAAGAGUAAAGAUCUUAAGUAAAGAAAAUUCUCUCUUUGUUAAAGUAAGAAAGAGAUUAUCUUCUUCAAUCUAUCAAGAAUCUAUGGGAUAGAAAGUUUAGAAACUCAUAUCUUUCUGAUAUCAAAAGAUUGAGAUUUUAUUUCUAUAAUGAUUUAUACAAGAUUUAUAUUGUAUACAAGGGGUUUCCAGAAAAACUGAUUUUGAAAAAAGCUUAAGGAAAGAGAAUGGUUUCUAAUUCGAGAUGCUCCAUUCUUUCCAAAUACCUCUAUUUAUACAUGAUUCAAACUCACUAUUAUUGAUCUAUUACAUCAUUGCAUACAUCAGAUUUUUGAAAAAAGGCUCACAUGCCUCUCUAUUCUUUUCCUCCUAGGGUCUACAUUUUCACAUGCAUUUUUUGAAUUUUCAUCAAAGGGACCUCUUUUCUUCUAUUAUUGCCUUAUCAUCUUUGGCUCUAUAUGCAGCUGGCUUGAUGCUUUUCUAUUAUUGCUUCUCCAUCUUUGGCUUUAUAUGCAGCUGGCUUGAUGCUUUGGUAGUGGUAGGUCCUUUUCCAUUCAUCAAUCCUUCAAUUUUGUCUACAUGUGGGGCACUCCCUCAAUCUGCAUGAUUCUUGGAUUGUUGUUGGACUUCCACUAAUUUGAUGAGUAUCAAAUUUUAAAAUAUAUUCCUUCAAAAUUGUAGAUUUUUCUUUUCCAUUAUUUGUAAGGAGGGUUCAUCCUUCAUAUUGGCAUAGACAUCUGAAUUUCUUAUCAUACAAGUUCUUUGCAAUGUUGUAAAGAACUUUCAUCCCCAAAACUCUCCGGGAUUUUAUCCAUGAUCUAUUGAUUUUUGGCAAUGGUUUAUUAUUUCGGCCAACUUCAAUCUGGAAAUCUCGGCCAACAUAUCCAAUUGUAAUAAUAUGUUCAGCAGGAUAGUAUAUCCUUCCAUCAACUUCAGGACUUAUUGAAUAAAAUUUGAUAUGAAUCGAUCUCCCUUGGGCAAAUUUUGAAACUUCUGUCCUGAAUAUAUCAUCAAAAUUUUCAAUUUCUUUUAAAUCUUUUUCUGGAUAGAUCAAAUCCAGAAAUUCAUAAUCUGCUGCCAUUUUGACCAUGAAAGAGUCUGCAUUUUUGGUAAUUAUUAAUCUGGGAUAAACAUGAUCCCCUGAUGAAAUAAAAUAAGAUUCAUUUUCUUCCAAUUCAUAAACAAUUUUGGCAAAUGAUCUAUAUUCUUCUUCUUUUGAUGACAAAGGGGUAUCAUCAUCUUCAUCAGUUUUGAUUCUUAUAACUCUUGUAUGCUCAUCACCAUUUUUUAUAGUCACCUUCCGGGGACUUACUAUAUCUCGUUUGAUAUUGCUGGGUCCACUGCUGCUUCCUGGCUGUGUACCUGUUUGUAUUUUUGAGAUUGUAUCAAUUGGCAUUUCCUGUUUGGUAUCUAAUGACUCGAAUUGUGAAGUAAUAUCAACAAUUCUGUCAUUCAAUUCUUUGGUAUAUUUGGAAUGAGAAUUAGAGAUUUCCACCAACAAUUUGACAUUUUGUUGGAUAGUUUCUGCCAUUUCCUCUAACUGCUCAAUUCCAAUUUUCAUAUCUUCAGAUUCUUCCAUGAGGAAUUUCAUUCGUCUAUUGACGUCUAUUAAUGAAUUUUUGAUAUUAUCCAUCUCCAAAUUCGAUGUUCCUGCUCAAAAAAUCUGCAAGAUANNNNNNNNNNNNNNNNNNNNNNNNNNNNNNNNNNNNNNNNNNNNNNNNNNNNNNNNNNNNNNNNNNNNNNNNNNNNNNNNNNNNNNNNNNNNNNNNNNNNNNNNNNNNNNNNNNNNNNNNNNNNNNNNNNNNNNNNNNNNNNNNNNNNNNNNNNNNNNNNNNNNNNNNNNNNNNNNNNNNNNNNNNNNNNNNNNNNNNNNNNNNNNNNNNNNNNNNNNNNNNNNNNNNNNNNNNNNNNNNNNNNNNNNNNNNNNNNNNNNNNNNNNNNNNNNNNNNNNNNNNNNNNNNNNNNNNNNNNNNNNNNNNNNNNNNNNNNNNNNNNNNNNNNNNNNNNNNNNNNNNNNNNNNNNNNNNNNNNNNNNNNNNNNNNNNNNNNNNNNNNNNNNNNNNNNNNNNNNNNNNNNNNNNNNNNNNNNNNNNNNNNNNNNNNNNNNNNNNNNNNNNNNNNNNNNNNNNNNNNNNNNNNNNNNNNNNNNNNNNNNNNNNNNNNNNNNNNNNNNNNNNNNNNNNNNNNNNNNNNNNNNNNNNNNNNNNNNNNNNNNNNNNNNNNNNNNNNNNNNNNNNNNNNNNNNNNNNNNNNNNNNNNNNNNNNNNNNNNNNNNNNNNNNNNNNNNNNNNNNNNNNNNNNNNNNNNNNNNNNNNNNNNNNNNNNNNNNNNNNNNNNNNNNNNNNNNNNNNNNNNNNNNNNNNNNNNNNNNNNNNNNNNNNNNNNNNNNNNNNNNNNNNNNNNNNNNNNNNNNNNNNNNNNNNNNNNNNNNNNNNNNNNNNNNNNNNNNNNNNNNNNNNNNNNNNNNNNNNNNNNNNNNNNNNNNNNNNNNNNNNNNNNNNNNNNNNNNNNNNNNNNNNNNNNNNNNNNNNNNNNNNNNNNNNNNNNNNNNNNNNNNNNNNNNNNNNNNNNNNNNNNNNNNNNNNNNNNNNNNNNNNNNNNNNNNNNNNNNNNNNNNNNNNNNNNNNNNNNNNNNNNNNNNNNNNNNNNNNNNNNNNNNNNNNNNNNNNNNNNNNNNNNNNNNNNNNNNNNNNNNNNNNNNNNNNNNNNNNNNNNNNNNNNNNNNNNNNNNNNNNNNNNNNNNNNNNNNNNNNNNNNNNNNNNNNNNNNNNNNNNNNNNNNNNNNNNNNNNNNNNNNNGUUAUAUUAAAUUCAUAUUCUUCUGGAAUAAUAUUUAUUUGUUUAUUUGGUUCCACUAUUCUACUAAUAUCCUUGCAUUCCUUAUGAAUUUCUAUGUAUGGUUUAUUGGAAUAAAUAUUCCCAUAAUUAGAAUUGGUAAAUGUAUAUAAUGCUCUAUAUUCCAUAGUCAUAAUUUGAUCUCCUGGUUCCAUUAUAUCAUUCCUAUGUAAUUUGAAAUGUAAUCCUAAGACUUCAUUAAAAUUUUUAUCUUUUAAUGAGACACAAUAUUUUGGGUAAUAAGUAAAUAUUAGCUUUUGGUAUGUUAAAUUUCCUUCUAUAGUUCCUAGAUGACCAUCUUCAAGAUUUAUAAUUCUUCCAUCAUGUAAACUUACAGUUAAUGAUGAAUCUAUUCCUUCUCUAAAUAAGGAUUUAAACAUUAUUUGUAUUCCUGCUAAAUAAACAUAUUGGAUCUUUUCACUAUGCUUUUUACUUAUUUUUGAUAAUAAUUCUGAUACUGUAUUUUUUGUUAAAAGAUUUAUUUUAUGUGUUCCUUGAGUUGUUCUAACAUCUAUAGUUUUUUCAAUCUUAUGGUAUUCAUUUAUUGCUAUUCUUUCUCUUCUCCAUAUUCUAUCUAAAAUUUCCCAUUUUCCUAUCUUCAAAUCUAAGGAUAACUUUUGUAUCUUUCUGAAUUUAUUAUUAUCAAAGGUUACUUUUAAUCCAUAGCCUUCUAUUCCCUCAUAUUCUCGAAUUUCUAUAUUAUUAUUUUCUAUUUCUUCAAUUUCUCUAUUCAGAUUCUGAUCCAUACUCUUCUGAAUCUGCUUCACUUAUAAAUAUUUCUUGAUUAUUAUAAUUUUCAAUAUCAGAUAUUUCACUUAAUUCGCUUUCUAUUUCAAAAUAGUCUUUCUGUAAUAUUCUCACUUUUUUCUUUGUGCAAUUAGGACUUAUAUGACCUAUUUCUCCACAAUUCCAACACUUACAUUGUUUUUUAUCUUUCUUAUAAGGUUUAUUUUUCUGUAUAUCAUUUUUCCUUUUAUAAUAUUUCCUUCCAGGUUUUAUGUAUUUUUUCUUAAAAUUUCUAUAUUUUUUAAACUUUCUAUUUUUAUACUUUCUUUUAUUUCUUUUUUCAGGAUUACAUCCCCAUCUUGUGGGUUUUUCCAUAUCUUCACAACAUAUUCUAGUUAAUUUUCCUGAUUUUUUCAAUAAUUGUCUUUGUUGACAUAUAUAUGCAAGUCUUUCAAAUAAGAAUUUUAUUCUUGAUCCUAGUGUUCUAGGUAUUCCUAUAUUUUCUUUAAUAUAUUUUUCAAAUUCUAUUUUAAAAUAUAUUCCCCAUGAUCCUGGUAAUUUAUUAUAAUACAUAUCUUGAUAUACUUCUUGAUUUUCAUUACUAUAAAAUUGAGCAUAAUAGUAAUCCUUGAAUUCACAAGUAUAUUCUUUAAUUUUACACAUAUCACAAAUUGUUAAAUUAAUUAGCUUAACUCUUGCAUUAUCUUUUUCUCGUAUUGCUUCCUCUUCAUAAUUUCUUAACCAAUCUUCUUCUAAGAAUUCAUCUGCAAUAUAUUCUACCAAUCUUUCUAUUCCUAGUUUAUCUGAUUUUAUUAUUUCUGUUUGUAUAUUUCUUUUUAUUAAUAAUUUUGUAUCACUACUAAUUCCUUCCCACCAAUUUCUAACAUUUCCUUCAAAAGAUGCAAUUAGAAAAUCUAUUAUUCUUUCAGUAUUUUCCCAUGUAUCAUCUUUAUUAUAUAAAAAGAAUAAUAUCAUUGAAUCUGCCCAAGUUAUUAAAGCUUUCUUAGUGUCUAUUUUACAAUCUAAGUCUAAUUUUGUUCCUUCAUGGUUAACGGGUUUAUCAUAAUUAUUAUUUAAUUCAAAUCUAUUACUAUAUUUAUUUCCUUUAGAUGGUUGUUUAUCUUUUACUUUAUCAUAAAAUUGUUUAUAUGAUUUAUUAUACAUUGGAGCAUAACUUUUAUCUGGAUCUAUUGAUUCUUGUUUAGAGGUUCCUACGGGAUUAGGUCCUCCUCCAGUAUUCAUUAUGAUUUGGUAUUCAUCAUCUAUACUUUCUAAACUUAAAUGAUCAAAAUUAUCUAUGAGCAAAUCUAAUUCUUCAUUCAUUUUUUAUAUCUUGAUUUUCUUUAAUUUUUUGUUUACUUAACAUUUUUUCUUUAGAUUCCUCUUCUUCUAAUAUUUUAGGUAAUAUAUUUUUUCUAAACUCAUCAUCCAUGCUUUCUGUUUCUAUUAUUAUAUUUUCUCUUUCAAUAUGUUUUUUCCCUAUUCUGGUUAUUUCUUUUUUUAUAAAUUUUUUAUCAAUUCUAUUAUUCUUUUCUUCAUUUUCUUUUAAUUUCCUGACUUCAAGUUUCAAUAUACUUAUAUCAUUUCUAGCUUCUUUUAUUUCAUUCUUAAUUUCUUGUACAUCAUUAAUUAAUGUUCUUAUUAAAUGUUUUAAUUCUUCCAUAUGUUCACUGAUUGACAUUUUACCUAUUUUUUGAUUGACAAUAAUACAAUACUAUACACUCAGCAUUUUUACACUCUUUUAUCAUUUUGUCAUACUUUUGUUUUAUAACUUCAAUACUUGUUAUUUCUUUUAACUUUUCAUAAUACCUUGCUUUUUCUUUAUAUCUUUCUUGUUUUAAUUUUAAUAUUUGUUUUUCUUGAGUUUUAGUUAAUUCUCCAGGUAUUAAUAAUUCAUCUAAAAUUUUAUUAUUUAUUAAUCUUAUUCUUUCUAACUUCCUAUCUAAAAUAUUUUUAGUUUUUUCCAUUAUAUUUUUAUGAUGAUUCAUAUAUUUCUCUAUGAUAUAACUCAUUUUCAAAUAUUUCGCAAAUUAUUUCAUAUGUACGUCUAUCUUUGAUAAAUCCUACAAUUAAUUUAUGUAAUAUUUGUUCCCUUAUUUCUCUAGGUAAAUUCCUAGUUAUAUAUAAUGUUAUUAUUUUUAAUUUAUUAGGGAUGGGGUUGUAAAAUAUAUAACAUCCUUUUUCUUCAAUACAUUGAUAAUAAUUAUUUAUUUUUAAGAUUUCCAUGAUCUCUAUGGCUCUGAUACCAAUUAUAGGGAUGCUACUAUGAGCGAACAAAAAUCUAAUAAUCUAAUAAUCAAAAUAUCAAAAAAAAUUUAUCUUAUAAAUUUUUAAGUAAUUCUUCAAAGUCUAAUAAUGUUUGAGAAUUUAUAAUAUCAAUAUCUGUUAUCAUAUCUAUAUCUGUUCUAAAAGAUAUUUCAUAUUUUGAGAUACUUUUCUUUCUUUUUUCCAAUUUAUCUAUUAUAUCUUGUAUAUCUUUUAUGAUUAUUGACCUUACAAUUCCUUUAGCGAAAUUUUCUAAUAAGUUUUCUUUAAAACAUUUUAAUAUUUCUUGUGAUGCAUAUAAUUGUUCUUGAUAUCCUAUCUUAUCAAUUUCUUUUUCAAAUUUAAUUUCUUUUUUAUUUUUAACAACCUUUUUUAUAUUAUAUGGUCCUCUCUUAUAUUUGGGCUUUUCCAUUUUAUAAUUAUUCAUUAAUAAUUUUUACAAAUUUUUAGGAAAAUUACUUGUUAGAUUUUUUAAGGACUAAAGAAGAAACUUUUUAUUAUAUAAAGGGUUGGUUGUUAAAUUUUUCCAAGGGUAUUUUGGGUAGUUUCAAAUUUCUAAAAAAGUCAAAGGUCAUUUUGGAAAAUGUUAUAUACUAUUUGGGUCAUUUUCAUGUAUAUCCCGUCUGUUAUAGGGUGGGCAAAUUUUGAGAGUUGUGCUUAGAAAAAAGUCAAAAUGGAUCAAGAAAUAAGGGAAAAAAAAAAACAGCAUAUCCCAACAGGACAGGCCGUACGAUGACAAACACGAUGGGAGCCUAAAUCGUGAUCUAGUUGUUUUUUGCAGACACUGAUUAACCACAAUUAACUUCGACUUUUAAGAAAGUUGCAAAUUAGUCCCUAAAUCAAGUUGUCCGAUUUUGGUCCUUUUUCGUUCUAAUCUUUACUUUUGAUGUCGCAACUUCCAAAAGCUUACACAUUGGUCCCCAAUAUUUCAUAAUAACCCAAAAUGGCCUCUCAAGUUUUAAAAUUGUGCAAAGUAGUUCCUUAACUUUUCCAAAGUUAAAUUUCACCCCAAAAGUUGUGAAUUUCCUCCAAUUGCUCUUAAUACUUCUUAUCAACACAUGCAAUUUGGUUUUUUAAUUGUUUCACGCAAUUAAGCUCAAAAUCAUCUUCUUUGGCUUCAAAUGCAUUCAAGUCAGAUUUUACCUAUAAUUAAUAAAAUUACACUAAUUUAGGUAGCGUCGACUACGUGAGUCAAAUAUGUGCAUGUUUUAUGACUUUGCAUUAUAUUGAAAAUUCCCAAAAAAUUGAAAAAUUAAAGAUUUGUUUUGUUUGAUCUGAUUUUUGAAAUAAAACUUUAAAAAUAGAAUUUGAGAUAAUUUUCUCAUUUUUUUAGGAAAAAUUUCAUAUGUAAGAAAUUAAGUAUCACUCAUUUCAAAAACUAAGAAACAAUGAAUAAAAAUUCAAGAAUCAGCUAUUAAUUAAAUUUUAUUUAUUAAUAAUUAAUUGAAAAUAUAUUUUAAAUUAAAUAUAUUGAGGUCACAAUUCCAUACAAUUGGAUCACAAUUAUUGAAUUAAUUGAUUACAAAUUAUUUUUCGAUCAUAAAUUAAAAUAAAUAAUUUAUAGGUCACAAAUUAUUUCACGAUCACAAAUAAAAUUUUUUAAUAGAUCACAAUUUGUCAUUGAUCACGAAUCAAAAAAUAUAUACUUCACAAUUUAUUUAUCGAUAACAAGUGACAAAUUUCAUAAAUCACAACUUAUUACGUGAUCACAAAUUAUCAAAUAUUUUUGUCACAAAUAACAAAUUUUUAGUUCACACAUUACUUAUUGAUUACACUUAUUCAGUUAUUCUACUUCAUGGGUCACAUAUUGUUUAUUAGUUACAACCAACCAAAUAAUUUGUAACACUACUUCAACCAGACGUACUGUCACUUGAACCACCACCACCACCACCUUCCGACAGCAACACCACCAUCUCAAACAAACCAACACCCACCACAAAAAAACAACUACUACUUUACAACCACUGUGAUGGCAGGACCACCGCCAGCACUACCACCAUCGCCUCUACCACCCAAAAUCACUACACAACCACCGCAAAACACACCAACCACAAAAAAACCACCUGCAAACACCACCAUACCACAAAACACAAUCAAUUGGAACGGGAUCUAAAUCCUCCACCGUCUGCAGCGGUAGCGUCUCCGAACCUACCAUUGCUAUGCCGCCAUCACCAUUAUCAUACACCGUAACCCACAUCUCCACCACACUGUCAUGGGAGGAGUAAUUGGGAAAAAAGGAGAAGAACUAGCCAUGGAUGGAAAAACAAGAAAUCAGAAGUGGAGAAAGAAGAAAGAAUUAACAGUAGUAACCGAGAUUCAAGUCCAAAACGACGGCAUUUGGUUUUAAAAAAAAUGACUCCGUUUUGCUUUAUUUUAAUUAAAUAAAUUGUAAUAGGAAUUGAAGAAAUAUUUUUUUUUAUUUUUUAUUUUUGGCUUUCAAUAUGCGACUUGAAUUGUACUGGACAGAUAUAGAUACAGCCAUGUGCGAGGUGGAGGUCAUUCGUCAUUUUCUGAAUUUUUAGUUGCUAAUUGAAAGGAUAUUCUUUUCUCACCUCCCAUCCUCCUCCUUUUUUUCAUCAUUUUCACCAUCCCCAAUUCUGUUUUACUUUAAUUUUGGUUACAAGUUCUAUUGAUUCAGCUGGGGAGAGUUCCAUAGUUGAGCUGUGAAGCUGGAGGUUGUGGAUUGAGGUUCAUUCCAUGACAAAUUGGUAUUAGAGCUGGCGUAUAUUACCGGGUAAUUGUUAGAUAUGGAUACAAGGUUGAAAGCAAUUGAUGAACAUUUGAAGAAAUUAGAUCUCGAAGUGGGCGAAUUUGGGUACAACUUUUAAAGCUAUUAUUAGCAAGGAUUAUUCUAUAUGUACAAAAUCAAUGACAAACUUGACAAGUGGUGGCCCCCUGUUAGUGGAGUGGUGGUGGGGCCAGCCGCCCCGCUAACAGAGAGCCGCCACUUGUUAAGUUUGUCAAACUUUUAGUAAUUGAUUUUGUACUUGUAGACUAAUCCUUAGUAGCCAUGAGAAAUAGAAGAUGUCUUGCUAGAAUUGAACCAAAAGUACGAAAAUGUGGUUGCAUUUAUGGCUCAAAUCUCUACUGAUUUGAAAACUAAUCAGAAGGACAAGGGAAUAGGUGAAUCUAUAGUUGAAUUGAAACUUGGAAGUGUGACUUCUCCACCAGGAGCUAGUAGCAAUGAGGCUAGUAUCAUCACUAGAGGUGAAUUGAAUGUGAACACUAGGCUACCUAAGAUCGAUUUCCCUCAUUUUGGGAAAAAGUCCUAAAGAGAUUUUGAGAAAGGCCAGGAAAUAUUUUAAAUUAUACCAAGUGCCAUAUGAACUCAAAGUAGGUAUGGCAGAAAUGUAUUUGAAAGGAAAGGCAGACAUUUUGUUUGAUAGAUUCAUAGCCGUCACCCGAAAGCUAGUCGGAAUCUAUUUUCAGAGGAACUCUGCAGGAGAUUAGCAGAAACUACUUAAGAAGUAGUAGUAGAAAGCUUCAGUGAGAUCAAGCAACUUGGAACUAUAGAGGAAUAUCAGGAGAAAUUCGAGGAAUUGGAAUCAGAAGUGAUGCUCGCAUUACCUCAUGUCUCAGAAUUCUACUAUAUUGUUGGAACAAUGGAGGUCUAAAAGGAGAGAUUAGAUCAAUGGUUAAAAUGAUAAAACCCAAUACACUAGCUAAGGCGUUUGAGAUAGUAGCCUAUAGGAAUCUACUAUUCAAGCCAUCCACAAAUUCUAGAAACCAAAAGGACGCACUGCAUACAAGUAGAGUCCCUACCCCCAAAACCACCUGAAGAAAAUAGAGCUAAAGACCCGUAACCAAAAACCAGUAAACCUCCGAACAGCUACAAAACAAUUACCCCCACUGAUUUCCAAACCUGGGGAAAUUUGGGGCUUUGUUACAAGUGUGAUGAGAAAUACACUUUCUGUUAAUGCAUUGGUUGGUAGUUCCAAGCAUAGAACUAUAAGGGUGCUAGGGGUAAUCAAAGAGAGAGAAAUAUCUAUCCUGAUAGAUAACGAUAGCACACAUAGAUUUAUAAAUGAAGGAUUGGCCAGAGAGUAAGCAAACUCUGAAUACUAGAUAUGACCUCAAAAUAACAGGGGUCAAGGUUGGCUAGUGAGAACUUGGUCAUUGAUGGAAAUAAAACAUUGACAAUCAGGGUGGCAAACGGUGAGAAAUUAGAGAGGUAGGCCCUUUACUCGCCCCUGACUUGGAAGAUGCAAAACUGGGAAUUCCAAUACCAUCUAAGAAUAUUGAAACUGUGUUGUAGUGACAUUGUAUUUAGGGCUGGGCAAAUAUCUUGAAUCGAACCGACCGAACCGAACCCGACGAUUCUUGUCAAAUUAAAUACCCGAACGGGUAUCUGAAUUGAAAAUCGACGGGUAAGAUUCGAUUCUCGGUUCUAGACCAAGAACCGAAGAAUCGAAUAAAAACCGAAUCUUUCUAAUUUUUUUUAUAUUGAAUAAAUCAAAUUAUUUUAAUUUCAAAUUUUUCUAAACAAAUUAACACAUUAACAAUUUCUAAACCCAAAUUUUUGGCCCAAUAAUUUGUUUCUUUUCUAAUUUUUUAAUUUUUGACCCAAUUGCCCAUUUUAUUGUUUCAUUUCUUAGUCAAGUAAGAUCAAAUCCACUAAAUAACCCUAAACACCAACACUAAAGUACAUAGCAUUGUCUCGACUCUCGCACUCACUCUGCAGCCUCGCUAAUAUUCCAAAACCUAUACAAUCAUCGGUUGACACUGUGACCUCCGAUCGAAGCUGUGACCUUCGCCAACUGAAGUUUUGAUCGUAACGAUCAUUUAAACAAGGUAGUUUACUAAUCUCUGACGUUCCAAAACCAUUAAAUGUAUCAUUAGUUGUAUUUAUAUAAUGUUGUUAUAAAUAAUUUAAUUAUAGUACAGAAUCGAACGGAACUGAACCGAACGAAACGAAACGAAACCCGAACGGUUCCAUAAUUAUAUUUGGAUCCGACGAUUCCAUUUACUAGAUACCCGAAAAGUUUGGUUCGGUUCUAAGGAGAACCAAACCGACUCGCGCCCACCCCUAAUUGUAUUGGGAGUAAAAUGGAUGAGUCAAUUUUGCCCAAUCAUGUUCGACUUUGCUCAAGGGUAUAUUAAGUUCAGACAUGAAGGUGCAGAAGCAACCUUGAGGAGUAAGGACACUAUACAAGAUGUGAAGAUAAUUGGAGCAAAGGAGAUGAAGAAUCUAUUUAGAAAGAGUAGUUGUGGUAUUUCUGGGCGAUUUUACACAUUACAGAGGGAAAGAAGAAGGAAAUUCGAAAACUGAUCGUAGAAAUUAUCAACUCAUUCCCAGGUGUAUUAAAAGAUCCCAUGGUUGCCUCUCCGUAGGACCCAUCACCACAAGAUUCCACUAAAAGAGGAAUCUCAACUUUUAAAAUCAGGCCAUAACAAUGUCCCUUUGUUUAGACAAUCGAAAUUGAGAAAACUAGUUAAAGAAAUGUUGGAUAGUGGGAUAAUUCAUCCCAGUAACAGCCCAUUUGCAUCUCCUGUUCUAUUAGUAAAAAAGAAGGAUAGGUCCUGGCGUUUUUGUGUAGAUUACAGACACUUAAACAGCUUAACUAUCAAGGACAAGUUCUCUAUGCCACUGAUUGAUGAACUUCAUGGGUCUAAGUAUUGUUCUAAAAUAGAUCUCAAGGCUGGCUAUCACCAAAUUAGAGUUACUCAAACAGGCAUUCACAAGACAGCUUUCCAAACACACCAAGGCCUUUACGAGUUCAAAAUGAUGACAUUUGGGCUCAUGAAUGCCCCUGCUACAUCCCAAAGCUUCAUGAAUUAUUUAAAGAGUAAUUGAGAGAUUAUGUCUUAGUCUUCUUUGAUGAUAUAUUGGUUUACAACCAUGACUUGACUACCUACUGUUAGCACCUAAAAACUGUCCUGGAGAUUUUGCAGAAACACCAGCUAUAUGCUAAAUGGUCUAACUAUAGUUUUUUACAGGAGCAAAAGGAAUACUUAGGUCAUAUAAUCAAUCAAAGUGGUGUCUCAACUUAUCCCAACCAAAUCGAAUCAUCGCAGUAAUGGCCUACGCCUAAGAAAAUCAAACAAUUAAGGGAUUUUUUUAGGCCUUACAGAGAACUAUAGAAAAUUUGUGAAGAAUUAUGGGAUAAUAGCUAAACCUUUAACUGGCCUCCAUAAGAAGGAUAGCUUCAUUUGGUCAAAGGCAGCAGAUUCAACAUUUGUGUUAUUGAAAGAGGCUACGAGUUCCACCCUAGUCCUAGCACUCCCUGAUUUCAGCAAGUCAUUCAUCAUUGAAACAGAUGCAUGCCAAAGGAGCACAGGUACAAUACUCAUGCAGGAUAGGAGACCUCUAUCAUACUUACGAAAAGUCAUGGGGAUAAAAAAUAUGGGGUUAUCCAUAUAUAAGAAGGAGUUGUUGGUAUUGGUAACAACAGCAAACAAAUGGAGGCAAUAUUUGGAGAGCCACCACUUCAUUGUAAAGAUUGACCAUUAGUCUCUCAAGUACCUACUUGAGCAAAGAAUCACUACCCCGCUCCAACAAAAGUGGCUCAACAAACUGCUAGGCCCCAGUUAUGAGAUAGUGUAUAAGAAAGGGACAGAUAACCUAGUGGCAGACGCACUAUCCAGGAGACAUAAAGAGAGUUUAGAAUGGCAAAUAUAAUUCCUGCUUUGAUCCAAGAGGUAAUCAAUAACUAUAAGGGAGAGAUAAGGAUGAUGAAGAGAGGAUUCAAUCCGUGAUACUGCAGUCAGAUAAUGACCAUAAUUUUUCCUAUUGCAAUGGUCUACUGUAGGUACAAAGGUAAGAUUUAUAUCAGGACAGGUGGUGAUAUCAGAACAAAACUGAUUCAGAUUCUCCAUAAUUCACAAGAAGGAAGUCAUUUAAGAAUGCAAAAUAGCAUCUAUAAAGCAAAACAACAAUUUUAUUGGCCAGGAAUGAACCAGGAUAUCAAGAUAGAGGCAUUACAAUGUGAAGUUUGUCAGAGGUACAAAGGGGAACAUACACCCUAUCUUGGACUAUUGUAGCCCUUACCCGAGCAUCUUCACUCAUGGAGUCAUAUUAGCAUGGAUUGCAUCAAGAGGUAAAAAUGUCAUUUUUGUAGUGGUGGAUAGGUUCACAAAAUAUGGGCAUUUUUUGGCUCUCUCACAUCUUUUCGGCUUUCACUGUCGUGUCAGUGGCAAAGAUAUUUAUGGAUAAUGUGUACAAUUUACAUGGGAUGCCUCAAAGCAUCUUCUUUGAUAGAGAUAAGGUCUUUACUAGCUGGUUCUGGCAAAAAGUAUUCACCAUGUUAGGCACUAAACUUCAGCUCAGCUCUACAUACCAUCCUCAAAGGCUCAAACGGAUGGGCAACCAGAGUUUGGAGAUGUAUUUGAGGUGUCUAACUUUUCAACAGCCUAAAUUAUGGGGUAAGUGGCUAACUCUGGCUGAAUGGUGGAACGACGCCACUUACCACUCUCCAGUUAGAAUGACCCCAUUUGAGAAAGAAGAAGAAAUGAAUAGCAGUAAUUGAAAUUCAAAUACAAAACGACAGUGUUUGGUGGAAGAGAAAAUUGCACCGUUUUACUUUGAUUAAAUAAAUUGUAAUUUUUGGCUUCAAAAACGCGACUUUACUUGUAUUGGAGAUAGAUAGAUACGAGCAUGUGCGAGAUGGAGGUCAGUUGUCAAUUUCUGAAUUUUUAGUUGCUAGUUGAAAGGAUACUCGGUUCUCACCUCCCAUCCUUCUUAUUUACAUCAUUUUCACCCUGCCCAAAUCUUUUUUACUUUAAUUUUGGUUACAAAUUCUGUUGAUUCAGCUGUGUAGAGUUCCAUAGUUGAGUUGUGAAGCUGGAGGUUGUGGACUGAGGUUCAUUCCAUGACACACACCUCCUCUGCCAAAUCUUCCACCUUUCGCCAGUAGGCAUCCAACACCACGCCCUUAUACCUCAAAUCAACAGCCCAGUCGACCAAUUACACAUUACCAUUUUCGUAGCGCCUCUUCACGCACAAAGUCCCCCACUUGCCGACUUAAAACCAAGAUCAACAACCAAUUGUAACAUCCAACAUUGAUUCGCACCAUAAAAAAAAAAAUCCAAAAAUUUUGCUAAGUAGCAAAUCAGGGAAGAAACUUAGAAAACAGCAAAUCCCUCGUCGUUGUGCACAGUGCAUGCUCUGUUGAUGACGCUCUUCCCCUUGCAUAUGCACGACGUGAACGACGCUUCGCAGCAGCAUUGGCCACUGCUGCAAAGCGUCGCUCACAACGCUGCUCGCCGCUAUGAAGAGCGUUUCAUAGUGGCGAGCACCGCUCUCUUGUGCGCAGCACUUCGUCGGAGAAAGUAAUGCCGCUUGGUGGUGGGGGGUUUUGUCAGCUGACGGGAAAGAGGGGAUAGGAUAUAAAGAAAUGGUUUAGGGUUUGGGGACGAAGUGUGGAUACG
RNAcentral lists this long non-coding RNA (40665 nucleotides) under Olea europaea (common olive). RNAcentral describes it as "long non-coding RNA (OEUR_LNC001135)". Lineage: Eukaryota; Viridiplantae; Streptophyta; Magnoliopsida; Lamiales; Oleaceae. The record is from RNAcentral.